UCCUGAUAGACAUAUUUUAUUUUCUUAAAUAUAAGCAUGUAAACACUAUUGCUGGGCGAUGCUUUUUUAAAGCCUGGCAAUAUCAUAACCUAUUAGUUUGCUUUCUGUUCAUUGCUCAAAAUGUGUACAUAAAGUAUCUGUCCUGGGGCUGGGGCCCAUUGCUCACCAGCUGGGACAGUCAGAGGCUGUCUGCUCCCUCGUCCCAAGGCGAACAGAGGCUCCUUGUCUGAAAGGAGCCAGCCAGGAAGUGCCUGCUGCGCUCCUGUAAACGUGGACAUUCACUGAAGUCAGGCUGUCUCGAGGGUGGACGCUGCGCAGGCGGAUGGAGCAAGGAGGGCAGGGAGCUGCAGAGAUGACAGACAGGAAAUUGCUUAAAAGCAAUGGAGCUAACCAUGAACUGAAAACUCUGAAGCUAGAUAAACACAAAGUGUUUUGACCUCAAGAAAAGCUAUCAAGUGUUUCUCUUCAGUAGCCAUGAAGAGACUGCUCAGCCUGAGAAAAGACCGAGUUUAACGUAUCCUUAACAUCACAUGGGCCUUCUCCCACCCAGACCCUGGAGGAAACCUUGCCAACUAAACCUGUUCUUUACCUAAGGCUCUUGGUGGUUUAACAAGGAAUAAAAUAGCAGAUCUGUCAAAGAGGCAGAAUGUUCGUGAGGAUCCCAGUUUUCCAGGGCACUGGAGUCCCGCCCCAGCCAGGUCUCCUUGCCAGGGAAGUGUUUUGGUGUGCAUGUAGGACACGCAGACAAGUCCAGUGCCUGAUCUCUGACCAGAGCUCAUCUGUAGAGAUUCUCUACAGAUCCCUUAAAGGGUCUCCCGGUUCUAAAGCUAAUGACCCACCCACAGCAAGGGAAUUAUGCUCAUCUCUUUUGUGUUCAAGUCCUUUUAAGCCAUGCCUUUGUGCAGGGGACCUUGUUCUACCUAACAAAAAAGUUUAUAGACGUG
Molecule: long non-coding RNA, 944 nt
Organism: Heterocephalus glaber (naked mole-rat)
Lineage: Eukaryota; Metazoa; Chordata; Mammalia; Rodentia; Bathyergidae
Source: Ensembl